UCUAAUAGUAGAUGAGUACCAGGCCUUUGGGCCUCCAAUGAUCAUCAUACUAAUGGACCCAUUAUCAUCCAACUUAAUAGGAGGCUAUGAUUUAGUUAUCACCAUAACUAUCUCAUUUAAGAAACCUAAUAAUUUAGAGGAUUUAAUUUAUGAAUUAAGAAAAGAAAAGAGAUCAAUCAGCAAAUCACAAUCCUCCCACUGACUUCACCAA
This 211-nucleotide long non-coding RNA is filed under the name Elaeis guineensis (African oil palm). Its description in RNAcentral is "long non-coding RNA (EGUI_LNC034113)". Lineage: Eukaryota; Viridiplantae; Streptophyta; Magnoliopsida; Arecales; Arecaceae. The record is from RNAcentral.